AUCGCCAUCUUUGAUUUUUGUUUGUAUACAAUUAGCCUGUACAAGUCCGCAAACAAUUGCUAAUUAUUAAUUGAAUAUUAACAUUUAAACUUUAAUUUUUUAAAAAUAUCAUCUUUCAUAAUUGAUUGAAGUCUAUCAAUGUUAAAAAUAGUUUGUAACCGUCGUAUAAUUAGAGAAUGUGUGUGUAAACUUUGGAAGUGGAAUUCCUAUACGGUCCCAUACAGCUAAGUUUUGAAAAUGAUAAUACUGUAUAUCAUCAUUGGAGAUUAUAACCAUUCAAUCGGAAUCGUAACUUGAUAUUUUAUGCUACAAUAUUCAUUGUAUUUGAAACGGAACGAGCUGAUUCAACUCUUCAUGCAAAGUACAAGUGACCGCGCAGAGGAAUCUCACUGCUUUGAGAAGGAAGCCCUUACCUCCAAUCUCCAGCCAAGGAUUACUUCACAGAAUGACUGCGCAGAGGAAUCUCACUGCUUUGAGAAGGAAGACCUUAUCUCCAAUCUCCAGCCUUGAAUUACUUCACAUCAUGAUGUUAAACAUCGUCGACGGAAUUUACUCGAGGACCGGCAAUCGGCAGGCCACUAUUAAAAAUACUGGGGAUAUUUUUACCGAGAAUAAACAUGUUUUAUUAUUUUUUCAUUCAUCGUUUUAUUUUAUUUUUAUAAUUUUUUCAUGAGUUAUUAAAUUUUAUUUUUUGUUUGCU
Molecule: long non-coding RNA, 700 nt
Filed under: Nilaparvata lugens (brown planthopper)
Lineage: Eukaryota; Metazoa; Arthropoda; Insecta; Hemiptera; Delphacidae
Description: uncharacterized LOC111054220, transcript variant X2
Source: RNAcentral